UACGAAGGGGGCUAGCGUUGCUCGGAAUCACUGGGCGUAAAGGGUGCGUAGGCGGGUCUUUAAGUCAGGGGUGAAAUCCUGGAGCUCAACUCCAGAACUGCCUUUGAUACUGAGGAUCUUGAGUAUGGGAGAGGUGAGUGGAACUGCGAGUGUAGAGGUGAAAUUCGUAGAUAUUCGCAAGAACACCAGUGGCGAAGGCGGCUCACUGGCCCAUAACUGACGCUGAGGCACGAAAGCGUGGGGAGCAAACAGG
Molecule: ribosomal RNA, 253 nt
Filed under: uncultured bacterium
Lineage: Bacteria
Description: partial 16S ribosomal RNA
Rfam family: Bacterial small subunit ribosomal RNA
Source: RNAcentral